This 253-nucleotide ribosomal RNA is filed under the name uncultured bacterium. RNAcentral's name for it is "partial 16S ribosomal RNA". It matches the Rfam family "Bacterial small subunit ribosomal RNA", at positions 524 to 776 of the family's 1533-position model. The record is from RNAcentral.
UACGUAGGUGGCAAGCGUUGUCCGGAUUUACUGGGCGUAAAGAGCGCGCAGGCGGUUGAUUAAGUCGAAUGUGAAAGCCCCCGGCUCAACUGGGGAGGGUCAUUCGAUACUGAUCGACUUGAAGGCAGGAGAGAGAAGUGGAAUUCCCGGUGUAGUGGUGAAAUGCGUAGAUAUCAGGAGGAACACCGGUGGCGAAGGCGGCGCUCUGGGCCGGUACUGACACUGAUGAGCGAAAGCGUGGGGAGCAAACAGG